This is a long non-coding RNA of Chiroxiphia lanceolata (lance-tailed manakin), 664 nucleotides long. RefSeq lists it as uncharacterized. The transcript is spliced from 4 exons. The record is from RefSeq and is a predicted model, not a curated record. Lineage: Eukaryota; Metazoa; Chordata; Aves; Passeriformes; Pipridae.
CCCCCCGCCUCGGAUCCCCGUGCCGGGGGCAUCCCCUGCCCAGCACAGCGAGGGAGAGCGGGGUGGCAUCGCCCGGGCUGCGGUUUUGGCAGCUGCUGGCACCGGGUUCUCCCCCCGCGGGCAGGUGCUGCUCCCGCGACCGCGAGGAGGAGGAGGAGAAGGAGGAGAGGGGGGAGCUCAGCUCUCACAUCAAGGUGCUCCCAACUGAAGUGCUGCCCGCGUGCUCGGCUUGUGGAGCCAGGAGGGAUUUAACCCCUGGUUUUGAUGCUCCACCUCGAUCCCAGGUGGAGGCAGGAGAGGGAGAAAUGUGGGCAGAGAGCCUGAGUCCCUGUGCAACCCCCCGGCUGGGAGAAGAAGCUCGAUUUGCUGAGGCCGGGGAUGGUUAAAGAGCUCGGCCAGGAAUCUGCACCAAACCUUUGACACACAAGACAUUUCCCUUUCGGGCCAAGGCAAACAAAGGAAGGAAGCGUCUGGGACUUUUAAAGCGACCCGGUGGAGACAGAGUUCUCUGUGCCUGAGGCUGCCAGGGCUGCCCUGCUCACCCCCUGAGCACCACCAGGCUCUGGGAAGUCUCCCGGGCUCAGGUGCUGGGGCAGCCCUGACCAUUCCUGGCAGAUCCCACCGUUCCUCAGCUUUUCUUUGGUGUAAAAGAGUCUUUACCCCU